Molecule: ribosomal RNA, 305 nt
Filed under: uncultured bacterium
Lineage: Bacteria
Description: bacterial SSU rRNA
Rfam family: Bacterial small subunit ribosomal RNA
Source: RNAcentral
GCCUACGGGGCGCAGCAGUUGGGAAUAUUGGACAAUGGAGGAAACUCUGAUCCAGUGACGCCGCGUGAAGGAAGAAGGUCUUCGGAUUGUAAACUUAUUUUAUCAGGGAAGAAAAAAAUGACUGUACCUGAAGAAGAAGCACCGGCUAACUACGUGCCAGCAGCCGCGGUAAUACGUAGGGAGCAAGCGUUAUCCGGAUUUAUUGGGUGUAAAGGGUGCGUAGACGGGUAUAUAAGUUAGUUGUGAAAUCCCUCGGCUCAACUGAGGAACUGCAACUAAAACUGUAAAUCUUGAGUGCGGGAGAG